GGAUUAUUACCCACCAAUGCCACGGUCACCAAAGUUCAUCUUACCCAACUUAUUCUGAAGUGGCGAAUCGCAGUUCCAUCGCCCAUUAUGAUCCCAUCAGCUUCCGCCAAAUCCCAGAAGCCAAAACCAAUCCACACGAUAAUACAAUGCAAACCACCGCCAUUCCCCCUUUCAAUCCCCCCGUUGCUUUUCCCUCAAAUCUCCCUCGUUUCCCUCCAAUAAUCCGCCAUUUCCCCUCUCCAUCUAAGCUUCGCGUCCCCAUAGCUAUGGCUUCUUCGCCUUCUGGGCUCGCCGUCGGGUCUCGAACAGGGGCAGAUUCGAGCGGGGCAGCCAUUGAUGGCCUCUGUACUUUGACUGAUUUUGUGGGUAAGGGAGGGAUUGGUUUGGGAGAUGAUUUAGUGCUGCUGUUGACUCAUAUUCAGUAUGCUUGCAAGAAAAUUGCCGCUCUCGUUGCUUCUCCCUUCAGUUCCGAUCUUCAAUAUCUGGCGGGUUUGGCUGCCGGCGGAGGUGUGGUUGUUGGGUCGGAGAGGGAUGCACCCAAGCCGCUCGACAUUGUGUCUAAUGAAAUCAUCUUAUCAUCCCUUAGAAAUUCCGGAAAAGUUGCUGUGAUGGCUUCAGAAGAAGAUGAUGAACCAGUUUGGAUUAGAGAUGAUGGCCCAUUUGUGGUGGUAACAGAUCCUCUUGAUGGUUCUCGAAAUAUUGAUGCAUCGAUACCUACGGGCACAAUUUUUGGGGUUUAUAAACGUCUUGUUGAACUCGAUAAUUUACCAAGAGAAGAGAAGGCCGUGCUUAAUUCUCUACAGAGUGGGUCUAAACUUUUGGCAGCUGGAUAUGUUCUCUACUCAUCAGCCACAAUACUUUGUGCCAGCUUUGGUUCCGGGACACAUGCAUUUACACUGGACCAUUCAACAGGAGACUUCAUUCUGACUCAUCCUCAUAUCAAAAUCCCUCCUCGAGGGCAAAUAUAUUCCGUAAAUGAUGCAAGAUAUUUCGAUUGGCCAGAAGGAUUGCGGCAAUAUAUCGACACAAUCAGACAGGGGAAAGGCAAAAAUCCAAAGAAGUACUCUGCCCGUUACAUAUGUUCUCUGGUUGCUGAUCUCCAUCGAACUUUAUUGUACGGGGGAGUGGCAAUGAAUCCAAGAGACCAUCUUCGUUUAGUAUAUGAAGCAAACCCUCUUAGCCUCCUCGUCGAGCAAGCUGGAGGCCGAGGUUCAGAUGGUAAAAACCGAAUUCUCUCAAUGCAGCCAGGUAAGCUGCAUCAAAGGUUGCCUUUGUUCUUAGGGAGUUUGGAGGACAUGGAGGAGCUUGAAAGCUAUGGAGAUGUACAGCAGAAAGUGAAUCCUGGUUAUGAAGUUUGAAGUUGUGAUUGACAAUGAAGUUUAAAAUGUAAAAAUCAAUCUUCAAAACAAAAAGAGCUAGGCGACGAAACCCUAGCCGUCAUCGAUGAGAACCAACCACAGACUUCUUCAACAAACCCCAUGGGAACCGACGGAGCUCUGAGUGUUAACAUGAAGACAGCCAUUCAAGCGGCUGUGAAGGAGUAUCUCCAAGCCGCCCUACCAUAGCUGAUCCCAGCCGCUGCUAGUAGAGGAGAGAUUUAACCUUGUCGAGAUGUUCCAGCUGCUGCAUGAGGGAGGGUCGUCUGUGUCGUUCCAGAUUGAAGCUGCCUUUGACAAUCAGAGAUGCUCGAUCGCACCGUCCGCGUCGUCCCAAACCGAAGUAGCCUUCGUCGAUUAGAUACGCUCGAUCGGGCCGAGCCGCGUCGGUGGGUUGCUGUCGAGCUCUUCGUCCGCGCCGGUCGCGCCGUUCAUGCCGAUCGUUCAAGUUCCUACCCAGUCGAUGCCUUCCUGUGUGUCGAGUUGAGCAGCAGAGCAGCCUCCGUUUGUGAGUUAUCCAACCGGCAGAUUGAGUCCAGCUUUUACGGCUGCUUCUGCCUCUGUCCAGCUGUCCGUAGGAGCUUCUUUUCCAGUCGCGUCCAAUCAUGGUGGCUCGACCCAAUACCCAGAUGAAAACCCGGUAAAUUCUUUCCCUAUUUUACCCAGUACAAAUAUCCUGCCUGGGCUCUCCUCAGUUGACAGUACGACCAACCUGAGUACGGUUGGAAUCAGUACUAUUGCCCAGUGAUAACUUGUAGAAAUACAAGUUAUUGUGGCUCAAAAGUUGGAAAAAUUAGGGCAUUUAAUGAUAAAAUUUCAUCAUUUUUAAAAGAAACGCAUUGAAUUACUCGAACACUAUCAAACUCAUGCAAAAAAAUGUUUAUUGCUAAAAUACUGCGGCACUAACGCAUGAUAUUGUAGGAUCUCAACAAAGUCUAAUGCAUGAUUAAGAAAAGUACUGCAGGCAAAUUCUAAUGCAUGGGGCAUGCAUCGGAGGGAUUCAACGCAAGGAAGAUUCAUUGAUUCAGGCUGUUUGUGUCAAAUCACCACUUGCAAGCAUGGGCAUCUGUAGCGGGCGGCGUUUGAAAAGCAUCUGAGUGUCAGGCGAUCGACCAGGGUAUAGAAUUUAAUGCUGCCUAUCAUUAAGUUGACAAAGACAGACGCUUAUAAAUAGAAGAAAUCCCACCAGAUGAAAGGGCUGGAGCUUUAGAAUCUUAAAUCUUUUAACUCAUUACAUAAUUCUGAAACCGUAGAGCUGUGCUGUGGUGACGAGAAGAACAAGAGGGAAGAGAACCACCACCAUCGUCGAUCAAGGAGCGGAGGAAACUGAGCUUGAGAGAGGCAUUUCUUCCAAUUCUUCCACAAGUGGUUGUACACGAACCAGAAUUGAGCCAAAGAGGACAAGAGAUUGUACUCCGCAACUUGACUUCUUUUAUUUCAUCUUACUUAUCGCUUUCAUCUUCUCAUUUGAUUAAGUAUUGGUUUUGUAAAGAUAAUCAGUUUCUUUAUAAAUUCACAUAUUUGAUCUA
Molecule: RNA transcript, 2905 nt
Organism: Benincasa hispida (wax gourd)
Lineage: Eukaryota; Viridiplantae; Streptophyta; Magnoliopsida; Cucurbitales; Cucurbitaceae
Gene name: Inositol monophosphatase family protein
Source: RefSeq, a predicted model, not a curated record